AACGUAGGACACAAGCGUUAUCCGGAAUUACUGGGCGUAAAGGGCGCGUAGGCGGCCUUCUAAGUCGAACGUGAAAUCCCCGGGCUCAACCCGGGAACUGCGUCCGAUACUGGAAGGCUUGAAUCCGGGAGAGGGAUGUGGAAUUCCAGGUGUAGCGGUGAAAUGCGUAGAUAUCUGGAGGAACACCCGUGGCGAAGGCGGUUCUCUGGGACGGUACUGACGCUGAGACGCGAAAGCGUGGGGAGCGAACAGG
RNAcentral lists this ribosomal RNA (253 nucleotides) under uncultured bacterium. Its description in RNAcentral is "partial 16S ribosomal RNA". It matches the Rfam family "Bacterial small subunit ribosomal RNA", at positions 524 to 776 of the family's 1533-position model. The record is from RNAcentral.